Molecule: non-coding RNA, 1138 nt
Organism: Callithrix jacchus (white-tufted-ear marmoset)
Lineage: Eukaryota; Metazoa; Chordata; Mammalia; Primates; Cebidae
Source: RefSeq, a predicted model, not a curated record
GAAAGCAGCGAAACUUCAGCUCCAGGUGGCCUGGAGGCGUGGCACACGAGAACGAGGGGGAGGUGUUCACCGCAGAGGGGUCGUCCCAAAUCUAGGACCCGCUGUUCCCCCUAGCCUCGCAGAAGCCAAGCAGGCCGUGGUUCUGGAAGCUUCUCAGUCUUGCCUCUCAUUAAAGUCCGAGGGUGGUUAUAAACUCCAACUGUCAAGGCAAGUUGUGUUUUUGGAGACUCUUCCAACUCCGCCAGGCUAUAAACAAUGACUUUGCCUUAGAAGUUGCAGUUGAAUAGGAAGAGCUUGGAAGAGCCCUUUGAUUUGAAUUGCCAAGUCGGAGCUUUUGAAGCUUCUCCGAAGUUUACUUGAAUUGCAGCCCGAACUACAUCUUUUCCACAAGGGCUGGACAUAUUUCAGGAAUCUAGUAUUUCCUUGGGGAAUGUUUUCCUCCCUCUGCUCUGGAAGCUGCUCUCCAUGCUCUCCCCGUCUUUGUUCAUUCCCAUGGGUUGAAACUGACCCACCCUGUGUGAAGCAAGUUCUCUGUAGGAUUCUGGAGAUCUGAUCAGGACAUCCAUCUGUGCAUUUUGGACCCCAACUCCUGGCUUCUGUAUCUGCUCUGCAUUUGACUUUCUGGACACCCUCUUCUGUUCUCCAAGACACCCUACACUUUUCUAGCUUGACAGGGAACUUGACAUUUUUUAACUUACCUAUUUAUUUGUCCUUCUCCCCUGUUAGAUUAUGAAUUCCUUAAGUCAGAGACAUUCUAUCCUUCUCUGUCAGUACCUGACACAUUGAACCAUGAUGUGGGGUGAAGAAGUUCCCUUCGCAGUUAUGAAGGGAAACCUUCCAGCUUGUAAACUGUCUCCUUGACUUAUGAGGGACUGUUCCAGAAAAAGUCAGAGGAGAACUUCCAUUCAGGCCAUAAGGAAAGCAAGAUGGGCAUGGUGGCUUAUACCUGUAUUCCCAGAACUUUGGGAGGUGGAGGAUUAGUGUGAUGGCUGGAGGCUCCGAGUUAGAAAUGAACUGCCACUUAAGGACUGUGUGUGGCUGCAGCGGCCCCUCACUGAACCCAAUUUCCUGCGAAGAGAUGGGACCAUCAUUGAUUCUACUUAAAGCAAAACAAAAUAAACCCAGAGGGUUUAGCAUG